ACAUGACAGCCUGAAGUGCGUUCAUUUCGUCCAGUCCUCAUAAUCUGUUGGGGUUGGAGGUGUUCAAUGGAACGUGCGUAUGAACUGAUUUUUCGAAUCCGGAAAAAUCAACUUAGGCAUGUAUAACACAGAGUAAAUAGGAACAUAAGGAAAAGGGAGUGCAUCUCUUCAUCCAGAAAUGGUGGUUAUCGAAGUGGUUGAGAUAAAUGGGAUCUACCAGUUAUAUGAGAUGAGGAACCAGUGUCAACAAUCCAAGAAUUAGAAGACGAAGAGGGAGCACUUGCAGCUUGAAGUUGAAGGGUCAGGUUUCCUAGACAAGCACAAAACAUGUAGAGAAAUGCAGUUUGAUCCAUGAUGCUGAAAGGGCCAAUAGCUCCAAGGUUCCAAUUGUGUGACCAUCUUCAGUCAACACUGCCACUCUGGUGGAUAUAAAGAAUCAGAUGUCAAGGGCAGCUAAGGAGGAACAAUAUCUCCUGUGGCAAGCCAAGUACGAAACAUGCUCUUAACAAAAAUGGCUUGAGGGUGUUGCAUGGCCAACUAGCCUUCCAAGUACACUUGAAUCUAACACCGUUGCAUGAUAUUACUACAAAAUCAGGACCAAAGGCCCAAAUUGUGUACUAGCAUCUGAUUCAUUUAAUCAGUCUCUGCUAUGUCCCUCGUACUGUUGGCUAGUGCUGCUUUUUGGCACAUACAUACAGCUCAAGUCCUAAGGGUUGCCUGUAGGCUUGGAUAGCAUUGUGAUAUGUUUUGAACAGGCAUUUAUCAUCGUAACUCUUUUUAUUCAUCAACUCUUGCCACUCUGUACUUAUACCUGUAGGCCCAGAAGAGGUAGUGUAAGAAAUUCAGUCCACUCAGCGUGCACAUGAGCCAGUAGAAUCGUUCCAGGUGAUAGUGAUUCAGGUUGCUACCAGAGAGCCAUGGUUCGUGUGCAGAGUGAUCUGUUACACUGUUUACUAUUGAUACAAUCACUGAGCUGAGGUAGUACCCCAUGGCCAAAGACGCCCAGGAGAGUGCUGUAGCCAAAGAUCUCAUGCUGCUAGGAGCUUCUGUGAAAAAGAAUUCCAACAACCCGGCCAGAGUGAAAAGAUCUGCUGAUCCAAGAAACAAGUACUGGAAUGCAAUCCAAAAGAAUGUGAUGGGCAGUGGAUUAGCUGAAUCUAGUGGCCCUGAGUUGGAAGCCACUCUCUUUCGCUUAACCUCGACAAGAGCUGCAGUUGCCAUGGCCACAAUGGAGAGCAUUAAACCAAUUCCAAUUCGUUGCAGGUGAGAAACGCCCAUUUCAGUGUUGGUUACUUUCCGAGCAAAUGGGAUGAUCAAAUGGUCAUAGACUGGUGCAAGGAUCAUGAUAAAGAGAAUAGGAAAAACUGGAAGGGAAGCUGGUGGGACUUUCAUGGAACCAAGCUUGGUGUUCAUAGUAGCAGCUUGUUGGACAGAAAAUGUGUUGAGCUGAGCUAGGCAGCAGUUGAGCAUGAUGGUGCAAGCAAAUAUAGGAAGAAUUUUUAAGAUGAUCUUAACUUCUUCUACUUGCUGCACUGUGCAUUCUAGUGCUGUGUGCACUGGCUUGUUUGUGACUGCUCUGUUAAGGAAUUUGAGGCUGUUUGUUGGGGUUUCAGAGGGCAACACUGGGGUUUCAUUGGGCAACACUUUGGAAUUUUCUCCUUCUUCCUUCCUGAUUUGGGCUGGGAAAAUUGGGCUUGUGGACAUGCUCACAACAGCAUUGCUUGGACUUCUGCUUGUGCUACUGUUCAGUAUAGCACCAAUUAAAACCUGUUUGAUGGAAAAGUGUUAACAAUGGUGGACUUAUUAUUGGGGAACAGGGUUAUUAAGGACAAAUCAACAACUCUAAACGGGUGAAAAAUGUUUGUAUCAUUCUGGAAACUAGUGACAAGGUGUACCAGACUUGCUCUCUUUAGGUUUUCUAUAUAUGCAUAUAUAUAUAUAUAUAUAUUAAUUAUUACAACAA
Long non-coding RNA from Malania oleifera, 1963 nucleotides. RefSeq lists it as uncharacterized. The record is from RefSeq and is a predicted model, not a curated record. NCBI's taxonomy places the organism in Eukaryota, Viridiplantae, Streptophyta, Magnoliopsida, Santalales, Ximeniaceae. The transcript has 5 exons.